UACGUAGGGUGCGAGCGUUAAUCGGAAUUACUGGGCGUAAAGCGUGCGCAGGCGGUUCGUUGUGUCGGCGGUGAAAGCCCCGGGCUCAACCUGGGAAUGGCCGUUGAAACUGGCGAACUGGAGUGUGGCAGAGGGGGGUGGAAUUCCGCGUGUAACAGUGAAAUGCGUAGAGAUGCGGAGGAACACCGAUGGCGAAGGCAGCCCCCUGGGCUGACACUGACGCUCAGGCACGAAAGCGUGGGGAGCAAACAGG
This 253-nucleotide ribosomal RNA is filed under the name uncultured bacterium. RNAcentral describes it as "partial 16S ribosomal RNA". It matches the Rfam family "Bacterial small subunit ribosomal RNA", at positions 524 to 776 of the family's 1533-position model. The record is from RNAcentral.